GAGGAUUGGGAUAUUCCGACUCCUUAAGGGCCUGGCGCACAUAAGGUGUGACCUUUUCAUUCCCGUUGUUAUGGAGGGCCACAUCUGCCAGAGCCUGGAGUCUGCGAAGGCCGGGACCCGGUUCCCCGGCCCACAGUGGGGGUGUGCAAACCCGAGAGAACUGGGAAGUGCCGUCAGAAGCGAUAACUGACGACGUCUAAUGUCUAUCUGACCGCAGUCGCUGAAACCUCUACAACUUAGUUGACCGUAACUGCCAGAGCCCUGCCCUGAAUUCCUGUCCUUACUCCCUCUUUAAGAUUGCGUACCCACUGCAGAGUGCUGAAGACGGGGUAGCCACGAGGUUGCAAAUUCGUGAAGAAUCAGCAUCAUGUUUGGCAGCUGAGUAUUGGAGCCAGGAGCCUGCCAUGAGGUUUUGAGAACAGAGUGCUGUUUUAGAGCUGGCAGCAGCAUCUCAGCCCAAGAGAAGGUUAUAUUCCCAGAGGAUGUCAGUCCCAAGGACCAGUAGCUGCCAUCAGUUUGGAUUCUGAAAACUAACUGGCAUCAACACUGGGUGUAGAAACAUGCUUGCCUUAUGUAUCAGAGGACAUGCUCAGCAGAUCCAAGAGAUAUAUUUGGCAACUUUUUCUAGAAAAGGCACAUUGGGUAUCAUUCAUUACAUUCUUGAGUUUUUUUGGGUUUUUUUUUUUUUUUUUGAGACAGUCUUGCUGUAUUGCCCAGGCUGGAGUGUGGUGGCACAAUCACAGCUCAUUGCAUCCUCAAUCACCCAGGCCUAAGCAAUCCUCCCACCUUGUAGCUGGGACUACAGCUCACAGCACACCUGGCUAAAAUUUUUUUUUUGUUGAGACGGAUUCUCUAUGUUGCCCAGGCUGGUCUCAGGCUCCUGGGCUCAGAUGGUCCUCCUGCCUCAGCUUCCAAAGGCACAGGCCAAGUUGUAGCUUUGUCCCUUGCCAUCAUGCCCAACAAGAGGUUCUAUACCUUUUAAUGAAUUGACUUUCAUAAAUUGGUUAUGUUGGUGGGCAAAGUUCUUUAAGCUGGAAAUUGUAAAUUCCUCCUGAAAUGUUUUUUCAUGCAGUUACCAUGAACUAAUACUACAAUAAAGGAUGGUCUUGGGUGUCAAUUCUUGAAAAUGUGUAUUUGAAGAAAAAGUAAAUUUCGCCUACUGUUGUCAGAUAUUAGCAGUCCAGAUAUUCGCUCUAGCUUGUAAACUUCCCUGUGGUCAGCCUAAGCUCUUAACCCCCUAUUCUACAGCUUUAGACUGAAGGCAAAAGCUCAAAGCAUUUAAGGCCUCCUCAAUUUCGGCCCCUGCUGCUCUGUGCUCUGUUCCUUGGUGUAGCUUUGUUCCAGCUCCUGCAGCAUUGCACCAUUCCUAACCACAACCUUAACAGCAUGUAGGGCCCCAUACUCUAGGCCCCAUCUUGCUGUCUUCCUGUGUUGGAAUCUUGCCUACCAAGGCCUGUCAAGAGGGUCCUCCCCCAUACUGUUUGCCCACAAGGUUCAAGAGUGAUUGGCUCCCAGUCUUCCUGGACUGAACUACUUGGAUCUAGGGGUUGCCUGUUAUUUAGAAGAGAUCCCUUAACUGGUAGGGCCCUUUCAGUAGGACAGUAUUUGGGUAAGGGGAGGGUAUAAGAUGAGAACCUUUGCUAAGUUAGGUUCCUUUGGGAGCCUCCAGUUUGUUUCUCCCUCUCCCCAGCCAUCUUGUUGGAUCUGCCAAGGGAUUGGACUCCUUCAUUGUCCUAGGUUUUUAAGGUUUUAAAGCCCACCUUCUGCAGUCGGUUUUCUGGAAUGUGUUGGUGGAUUACUUAAGAGUUAUGGGGAAAGAGUUCUUACGGCCUGUCUAGGUCAGUGAAGUCAUACUGGCAAGUGACAAGAAGGAAGCCAGGUUUGUCACUUACCCUGCAUGCUAAGGACAUCAGAGCCCACAUAGAAGUCUGGUAGUUUUUCAGCCAGCAGUGGGUAGGGAAGGUGGAUAGGGGAUUUCUGAACAGGACUUUAUGCCUGUAUGCAUGGGCACCAUGUCUGUCCUGAGCACUACCACAUGGCAUCGUAGGCUGCUCUGUCAAAGGAUAUAGCGAUAGCUGGUCCUAUGGGCAGAUGCCUAGAAUCAAGGUGGGCCUCAGAAAUAGGGCUGGGUCUCCAUAAGGAGGUAGGCCACGUUCAGUCCACCCCUAGCAUAGAUGGAACUGGGGUCUCGGGCAACCAGGAGUUACAGGAAUUUUGCUAAAGAUUCCCACCUUCCUUGAGUGGGGACACAUUCCUCUGGUUGGAGCUUGUUCCCCUAAAUGAAAAAUGUAAUGCAGUACAUGUAGGGGCCCUACUGUAUUCUUUUUCUGGGGGAAAGCUCUUGGUGUUCACAAUGGCUCAGGCUUACAGUACCUCCAGCCAUGUGCCCAUUUCCACAAGUCUUUGGGGAAGGCCAUGAGCUGAGCUGAGAGGGUUCUCUGGGGCCUGGGAUGACUUAAGAACCAAAUGGCAGAUAAUGGGAUAGGGGGCAGAUGCAGAGGACCAACGGGAAGUUUUAACACAAAUCCCCUUCCCCAGAUGAUAUGGUUUGCCUUUCUGUAGGUGGGUGGCCCAGGCCAAUUUUUGGCAAUAUCCUUAACCCACCUGAU
This 2609-nucleotide long non-coding RNA is filed under the name Homo sapiens (human). RNAcentral's name for it is "PREDICTED lncRNA (TCONS_00107452)". The stretch from base 140 to 213 matches the Rfam family "Small nucleolar RNA SNORD49". Lineage: Eukaryota; Metazoa; Chordata; Mammalia; Primates; Hominidae. The record is from RNAcentral.